Long non-coding RNA from Homo sapiens (human), 1130 nucleotides. The record is from Ensembl. Lineage: Eukaryota; Metazoa; Chordata; Mammalia; Primates; Hominidae.
AAGGAGGAGAAAGAGCCAGCUGCAGAAAGCCAACAAGAGGGGUGUUUGAUGCAAAGAAAAUCAUAAACCGACCCCCAGCUGGAAAUGAUCCUAACCUGUGGAAGCUCCUGAAUUGAGUGAGGGACUGGCCGGCAGGAGAGAGUCUCACUCUAGCACCCAGGAUGGAGUGCAGUGGCACAAUCUCAGCUCACUGCAACCUCCGCCUCCUUGGUUCAAGUGAUUCUUCUGCCUCAGCCUCCCAAGUAGCUGGGAUUACAGGGUGCAGAUCUGCGUAGUGAAACUACCCACAGCAAGGAUGUAUGCCUGUGAGGUGGCACAGAACUGAUGGAUCAGACUUGGCCUUCAACCUCCUGUUAUCCUGAUGAAAUUGCAAGCUCCAAACAACAGAGACACAACAUUGACCAACAGUAAGAUGGCUUGAAGAAAUAUUUCUUUCAGGACAAACUCUGUGCAUUCCAUGAGGGUGGAUGGAUGGACUUAUGAGGACAAAGCCACUGACAUCAUGAGCAGGAAACAAUGCUUCUCUCAAGCUGCAGCUUCGAAAUGUCAAACAGCCUCUUCCUUGGGUGACAACUGCUUUCUGACUCAAAGGAAGACCUUGCUCUCCAGCAUCAGGGGCUGUCAGAAACUUUGCUUUUGAGUAAGUACAACAUCACACUGCCUGGAGGAUCUAGGUCCACCUUUACACAGAAGCACAGAGCUACAGAGAAGGGGUUUCUGGAUGGAACAUUCACAUCUGGCUGGACUUCAUGGGUUCUAAGGACAGAGGACCUGGGUCCACUUUGCAGACCAGACUUGACACUGGCUGCUUUACACUUAGGACUGCUACGUUGUGAGUCCAUCACUACAGCCUCAAGAAUCCCUCCCCACAGUCUUAUAAUAACCUCUUUGCUUUGUUUUUUUAGUCAUCCCAGGUUUCUUAAUGUGAAUUUAUUCCCUUUUUGCUACAAGCCAAUAAUCCUGAGUCUGUUAACUGCAAAAUCAGUUUUGGUGACUGAAUGCACUAGGAUGUAUAUUAGUUUCUGGAAUUUGGGAUGACUGUAGCAUUUUUCAGCAUUUUAAAGUGAGUAAUUUGUUGUGACUUAUUUCCUUUUCUUAAAUAAACACUAACUUCUGUGUUUAGUUUCAAA